AUGGAUUUACACCCACAGGUGAUCUGCUGGAAUGUUCGAGGCUUGAACAAUCCAGCUAAAGGCAAGGUGGUGCGGGAGUUUAUGAGUGCUCUUGAGGUCAACUUAGCUUGCUUGCAAGAAACAAAGUUGGAUAUAAUAGAUAGAUAUCUAGUGAUGCAAUGUUUGGGACCAUUGUUCGAUGGUUUUGCUUACCUGUCGGCUAUUGAGACUAGAGGGGGUGCUUCUUGCGUGGAAGAGUACGGUCUUGGAGGUGGAGGCCAUACAGAUCGACACUAA
RNAcentral lists this ribosomal RNA (276 nucleotides) under Triticum aestivum (bread wheat). RNAcentral describes it as "partial small subunit ribosomal RNA". Lineage: Eukaryota; Viridiplantae; Streptophyta; Magnoliopsida; Poales; Poaceae. The record is from RNAcentral.